UAGAAAAUGGAUGGAUGGAUGGAUGGGUGUGAGAGUUUAUUAAAGAACAAGUGACCAUAUAGCAGUGAAUACUGGGGAGCUGCUGGCUUUGCUCUUAGAAAUGCUCUGAGUGGAAGAACAUGAGCCAAUGAAAAUACUAAUUGCUUCAGAUUCAAGUAGUGCAUUAAUAAGUUUAAAGAAUUUCAGAAUGGAUGUUGUUGUAGAACUGUCUCAAAUAAUAAACAGAUCAGGUACACUGAGGAAAUGUGUGGUUUUCCUCUGGGUGACAGCUCAUUUUGGAAUAGUAGGCAAUGAAUUGGCAGAUAAGUAUGCAAAGCAGGGUGUAAGAAAAUUAAACAUAGAUUUACCUGUUAAGUCUUCAAAGACAGAAAUUAAGAGCGUUGUAAAGAGUACUCUAAAAAGAAGGAGGCAAAGAGACUGGGAUUAAAGAAGUACUGCCCGAUUCUGUUACUCUGUCCAUCAAAAUGUUGGGGGAACAAUGGAGAUUGGGGGAGAUCUUUGCCUGAGAGAGGAGGAUGUUCUGCCACGUUUAAUGACGGGACACAGGAAUUAAUAGCACAUUACACUUAAUUGGAAAACAUCCAUAUGGAAACUGUGAAUAUUGUGGGGAGACUGAGACAAUAGAUGUGGUUUUUACUUGUACUAAAUACAGACGACAAAGGAGAAUUCUUAUAGGAAGAAUAAUUGAGAAUGACCAUUUAAUAUUAAGAGAAUAUUGCAGGGAUGGAGAGAUACAGAAAUUUGUAGGGCGGUCCUGAAAUUUAUUAAAAGUUAAGGAUUACUUUUGUGUAUUUAGAUUGGGGAGACUUGACUAACCAGAGGCUUCCCAGCCCAGACUCCAUCCUGGAAGGCGGCGAGUUCCCUGCGCCUGUCUGCACCGCCAUGGGUUCUGCCUGCUGUGCUGCUGAAUCUCCUGCUACUCCAGCGUUCCUGCUCCAAGUGAUCUCUCGGCUGUCCUGCUGGUUCUCCUGCUACCCCUGCGUUCUCUUACUUACUCUGGGGACUUCCUGGUUCCUGCAGCGCAGCACUCCAGCGUCCUCCGGUCCUUCAGCUCUCUCCAGUCCCCCAGCUCCUACACUCACCAUCCACCAGCUCGAUCCUGGUAAAGACUCUGGUUCAUCUCCUCCAUUACACCUAACCAGCAAUAAACUCUCUGGAAUGAA
Fundulus heteroclitus (mummichog) is the source of this 1163-nucleotide long non-coding RNA. RefSeq lists it as uncharacterized. The transcript has 2 exons. The record is from RefSeq and is a predicted model, not a curated record. Lineage: Eukaryota; Metazoa; Chordata; Actinopteri; Cyprinodontiformes; Fundulidae.